Molecule: ribosomal RNA, 518 nt
Filed under: uncultured microorganism
Description: bacterial SSU rRNA
Rfam family: Bacterial small subunit ribosomal RNA
Source: RNAcentral
GAGUUUGAUCGUGGCUCAGGACGAACGCUGGCGGUAUGCCUAAUACAUGCAAGUCGAGCGCAGGAAGCAGACUGAAGCCUUCGGGUGGAUGUCUGUGGAAUGAGCGGCGGAUGGGUGAGUAUCACGUGGGUAACCUGCCUGUAAGCUUGGGGAUAACUCCGGGAAACCGGUGCUAAUACCAGAUAAGAUUUCCGUUCGCAUGAACGGAAAAUGAAAGGCGGCUUUUGCUGUCACUUACAGAUGGACCCGCGUCGCAUUAGCUAGUUGGUGGGGUAAAGGCUCACCAAAGCAACGAUGCGUAGCCGACCUGAGAGGGUGAUCGGCCACACUGGGACUGAGACACGGCCCAGACUCCUACGGGAGGCAGCAGUAGGGAAUCUUCCGCAAUGGACGAAAGUCUGACGGAGCAAUACCGCGUGAGUGAUGAAGGUCUUCGGAUCGUAAAACUCUGUUGUUAAGGAAGAACAAGUGCUAAUCUAAUACAUUAGUGCCCUGACGGUACCUAACCAGAAAGCCCC